This 86-nucleotide transfer RNA is filed under the name Crassvirales sp. RNAcentral's name for it is "tRNA-Leu". It matches the Rfam family "tRNA". From Rfam's summary of the family: Transfer RNA (tRNA) molecules are approximately 80 nucleotides in length. Lineage: Duplodnaviria; Heunggongvirae; Uroviricota; Caudoviricetes; Crassvirales. The record is from RNAcentral.
GCCCCUAUGUUGGAAUAGGUAGACAAGACAGACUUAAAAUCUGUUGGCCAUUAUAGGCUGUGUGGGUUCGAGUCUCACUGGGGGUA